CCUCGGGGGGCAGCAGUGGGGAAUAUUGGACAAUGGGCGAAAGCCUGAUCCAGCCAUGCCGCGUGUGUGAAGAAGGCCUUCGGGUUGUAAAGCACUUUCAGUGGGGAAGAAAGCCUUGGGGCUAAUACCCUCGAGGAAGGACAUCACCCACAGAAGAAGCACCGGCUAACUCCGUGCCAGCAGCCGCGGUAAUACGGAGGGUGCGAGCGUUAAUCGGAAUUACUGGGCGUAAAGCGCGCGUAGGCGGUCUGAUAAGCCGGUUGUGAAAGCCCCGGGCUCAACCUGGGAACGGCAUCCGGAACUGUCAGGCUAGAGUGCAGGAGAGGAAGGUAGAAUUCCCGGUGUAGCGGUGAAAUGCGUAGAGAUCGGGAGGAAUACCAGUGGCGAAGGCGGCCUUCUGGACUGACACUGACGCUGAGGUGCGAAAGCGUGGGUAGCAAACAGGAUUAGAUACCCUUGUAGUC
RNAcentral lists this ribosomal RNA (464 nucleotides) under Vreelandella stevensii. RNAcentral's name for it is "partial 16S ribosomal RNA". It matches the Rfam family "Bacterial small subunit ribosomal RNA", at positions 339 to 795 of the family's 1533-position model. Lineage: Bacteria; Pseudomonadati; Pseudomonadota; Gammaproteobacteria; Oceanospirillales; Halomonadaceae. The record is from RNAcentral.